RNAcentral lists this ribosomal RNA (273 nucleotides) under uncultured bacterium. Its description in RNAcentral is "partial 16S ribosomal RNA". It matches the Rfam family "Bacterial small subunit ribosomal RNA", at positions 524 to 796 of the family's 1533-position model. The record is from RNAcentral.
AACGUAGGAGCCAAGCGUUAUCCGAAUUUACUGGGCGUAAAGCGCGUGCAGGCGGCUCGAUAAGUUGGCUGUGAAAUCGCCUGGCUCAACCGGGCGAGGCCGGUCAAGACUGUCGGGCUAGAGGACAGGCGAGGGAGGUGGAAUUCCCGGUGUAGUGGUGAAAUGCGUAGAGAUCGGGAGGAACACCAGUGGCGAAAGCGGCCUCCUGGACUGUACCUGACGCUCAGAUGCGAAAGCUAGGGGAGCGAACGGGAUUAGAAACCCCCGUAGUCC